CUUGACACUGAACAUUGAGCCUUGAUGUGUAGGAUAGGUGGGAGGCUUUGAAGUGUGGACGCCAGUCUGCAUGGAGCCGACCUUGAAAUACCACCCUUUAAUGUUUGAUGUUCUAACGUUGGCCCCUAAUCGGGGUUGCGGACAGUGUCUGGUGGGUAGUUUGACUGGGGCGGUCUCCUCCUAAAGAGUAACGGAGGAGCACGAAGGUUGGCUAAUCCUGGUCGGACAUCAGGAGGUUAGUGCAAUGGCAUAAGC
This 255-nucleotide ribosomal RNA is filed under the name Escherichia coli. RNAcentral's name for it is "partial 23S ribosomal RNA". It matches the Rfam family "Bacterial large subunit ribosomal RNA", at positions 2110 to 2364 of the family's 2925-position model. Lineage: Bacteria; Pseudomonadati; Pseudomonadota; Gammaproteobacteria; Enterobacterales; Enterobacteriaceae. The record is from RNAcentral.